RNAcentral lists this long non-coding RNA (353 nucleotides) under Prunus dulcis (almond). RNAcentral's name for it is "sRNA ncRNA". Lineage: Eukaryota; Viridiplantae; Streptophyta; Magnoliopsida; Rosales; Rosaceae. The record is from RNAcentral.
CCAAAAGCUGCAACAAAAUCAUGGCGUCUAUGGUGGAUUGUAGUACUUGCUUGAAAAACACAAUGAAAACCAAAGAGAAAAGCUGGGUCCACAACACCACACCGCAACCAUCCCAAUGACAGCAAGACACAUCCAAGAAAAACAAAAGUCACCAAGGACCUACAACAGAAAACACACAAACAAACAAACAAACAAACAAACAAAAGACAAGAUCCAGAUAGAUCUAGGCAAAAGGACCCAAAAUCCAGACAAAUCUGGGGAGAGAAUAGGAGAGGGGAAGAAAACUAGGAAAGGAGAAAGGGAGAUGAGGAGAGAAAGAUGGAAGAUGGGGAAGCCACCCACCCCCACAGGGG